Molecule: small RNA, 129 nt
Filed under: Marmota monax (woodchuck)
Lineage: Eukaryota; Metazoa; Chordata; Mammalia; Rodentia; Sciuridae
Source: RNAcentral
GCCAGGCAUGGUGGCAUACGCCUGUAAUCCCAGGAUUACUCAGGAGGCUGAGGCAGGAGGAUUGCAAGUUCAAAGCCAGUCUCAGCAACUUAGUGAGGCCUUUAGUAACUCAGUGAGACCCUGUCUCUA